This is a long non-coding RNA of Mirounga angustirostris (Northern elephant seal), 2662 nucleotides long. RefSeq lists it as uncharacterized. The transcript is spliced from 3 exons. NCBI's taxonomy places the organism in Eukaryota, Metazoa, Chordata, Mammalia, Carnivora, Phocidae. The record is from RefSeq and is a predicted model, not a curated record.
GCAUCGGGCUCCCUGCUCCGCAGGAAGCCUGCUUCUCCCUCUCCCACUCCCUCUGCUUGUGUUCCCUCUUUCGCUGUGUCUCUCUCUGUCAAAUAAAUAAAUAAAAUCUUUAAAAAGAAAAAAAGAAAAGAAAACCUGUUUCAGUGAAAUGUCAGGUGGUUCCCUGUUCCCCUGUAACCCAUCCAAGAAUCCCAGGUUCAGAAUCCCUGAUUCAAGUGAUUUAAAUUGUCUCAUAGAAAUCACUGGUUACUGAGUUCCAUGAUGGCUCAGAUGAUGGGUCUGACUUCCAGUUAUAUACCACGCCCUUAGCUAUUACCCAGAGCCUUCAGAUCUGUAUAAUGUGAAGGUAGAAGAUAGAACCAUAUAAAGACAAAAUUACAAUCAUGAGACUUGGACUCACCCUCCACACAACCUGCUGGGGAAAUUGGUCCAGGACAUUUCUCAAGUUUGGAGGAAUUUUAAGCACUGAGGUGGAUGGCUGGGAUUACAUCCUUGUUGUGUCAAUCCCUAUACUAACUUUUCUUAUUAGAUUACUUUAUCUAGUCCUCAAAAAAAGAAGGAAAAAAAAAACUAUGAAGAAGGUGUAAUUAUUAUUUUAUAGAGAGGUUAGGUAUUUUGCCCAAGACCUUACAGCUAAAAUGUGGGCUUUAACUCAUUAUCUGCUUUCUAUUAAAUAGAGUAAAAUGCUAUUGGGGAGAUUCUGCCUAAAAUGAAAAAGAAGAUAGAGCAAGAGACUGAAUUUUUUAAAGAUCUAUUAGGAUGUAAUAUUAAUUAUUUGUGAAAGUAUAGUAUGUUAUAUACUAGGACUCAAAUUUCUAAAUUAGAUUAAUGCAUUUGGACAAAUGGUGACCUUUCUGAGCCUGAGUGCUCUCAUUUGUAAAAAGAGACUGUAAUAGAUGGUUUAUUUUGGUGAAAGAGGGGGCAGGGGAAGGGCAGAGAGAGAGAGAAUCUCAACCAGACUCCGUGCUGAGCAAUGCUCAACAGAAUGAGCCACCUAGGCGCUGCUGUAAUAGAUGGUUUUUAACAUUCUUCUAGCUCAUGACUUCUAGCAUCAUGAUUAUAGAAUUAUUCAUAUAUUUGAGGAGGAGUCUAGGAGUCAUUUUACAGAUGAGGGAGCAGAGGCUUAGAAUCUUUCUGGUGUGUUAACCAAAGCUGAGCCUAGAAUCAAUGUAUCCUGAUUUCUCUUCUCAUUCCACCAUGUAAUUAUCUUCCCAAACUAUAAAAUCUUCUGAAUUACUCCUUGGGUUCUUGUAUGUAUACUUUAUAGGCAAAAUGCAUUAUAAUGUCUUUAAAACCCUUGUAUUAAAUUUGCACCCUCAAAGGAUCUUUAAAUUAUUUCCCAGCCAGAAGCUCCCACAUAGCAAAGGCUGCGUAUACCUCUUAUUCCAGGUUUGAGUUUCUAGUACGUUGGGAGAGUAGUCUCACUGAGUCAUAAGAUGAGAUCAUGAAGCUGUAAAGCAUCUAUGACAACACUCUUGGUUGGCUAUCCAAGAUUAACCCCCAACUCCUUGUCCUUGUUCACUAGGUGAAUAACUCCCUUCCAACCUCCCUUAAAGCUAGUGGUAACCACAUGACCCUUUUAACCAAUGAGUCUACUGAGGAGGCCUCAAGGAAGAUUGUAUUCUCUGAUAAAAGAGAACGGCUGUCUUUGGACACAUUCUUGAAGGAUGAGGUGUUUGGAGCUGUGGCAGCCUUCUUACAACCAUGAGGGGAAUCACAGAAAUAUAAUCCCAGCACCCUAACAUGGUGGAGCUACAUAUCUCCUUUUGAAUUUUUUUAAAAAGUAAAUUAUAUAUUGUUAAUAUGGUUUAAAUUACUGUCAUUUGAAUCUUAUGCUUGUAGUUGCUGGAAGCAUUCCUAAUCGAUAAAGCACCAUACAGGUAAGACAUAUGUUCCAUGACAGGAAAUACAGCAUUGUACCUGAGUGCUUUGCAGUUAAAGAUAAAUAUUCAGUAAUUGAACAUUAACUGAGGGAAUUAAUGAACAAGUCAAUACCAUUGUGAUUAUUAUCCUUGUUCCAGUGCAGCCUACAGAGUGCAUAUUUAAUUUUUAAACAAAUAGGGUGUGCCAUGUAAAGUUAGGGAAGGAGUAUGAUAGUGGGAUAGAGGAAACACUAUGGAAUCAAUCACUUCUGACCAUUGGGGAGAGGUUGGAAAGGGAACUCUUCAGUUGACAUUUGCGAUGAAAGCUACAGUUCAGCUGAUACAAUGCCCAUAUCCAACCCCCUUCUUCUAUCUCUUUCUCUCCAAUAGAAGCAGUGAAAGCAAAAAUCUCCAUUGCCCAGCCUCCCUUGAUGUUUGAGUGGCCAUGUGCCGGUGCUUGCCAGUGAGAUGGAAGUGGAGUGGUGCUGGCCCCAUCCAUCCUCUUCCUCUUUCUUCCAGCCUAGAAAACAGAUGUAAUGGCAUCAGAAGCACAGAAGCUAUUCUUCAGCCAUGAGAUGCAGGGAAAUGCCUGAAGAGAGGCUCCGCUAGCUGAAAACUAAUCGCAGUUCUCAGGACAGAGCGUGUAAAAUAAACAAUUGGCAAUCAUGGUGCUACAUUUUAGGAUGUGCUUUGGAAACAUUUCCAUUCUACAACAACUGAAAGUUCAGAAUAUGAAAUGCUUAGAUAUCUACAAACAUAUUAACCAAACCAGCCACUCCUUGAUUGUUGCAUGUAAAAUU